CAGCAGCCGCGGGAAUACGUAGGUGGCAAGCGUUGUCCGGAAUUAUUGGGCGUAAAGGGCUCGCGGGCGGUUUCUUAAGUCUGAUGUGAAAGCCCCCGGCUCAACCGGGGAGGGUCAUUGGAAACUGGGAAACUUGAGUGCAGAAGAGGAGAGUGGAAUUCCACGUGUAGCGGUGAAAUGCGUAGAGAUGUGGAGGAACACCAGUGGCGAAGGCGACUCUCUGGUCUGUAACUGACGCUGAGGAGCGAAAGCGUGGGGAGCGAACAGGAUUAGAUACCCGCGUAGUCCCUGUCUCUUAUAC
RNAcentral lists this ribosomal RNA (301 nucleotides) under uncultured bacterium. RNAcentral's name for it is "partial 16S ribosomal RNA". It matches the Rfam family "Bacterial small subunit ribosomal RNA", at positions 509 to 807 of the family's 1533-position model. The record is from RNAcentral.